AAUGAACGUUGGCGGCGUGGAUUAGGCAUGCAAGUCGUACGGGUCGGUGUAGCAAUACAACGGCAAGUGGCGAAAGGGAGAGUAACACGUAGAUACCUACCCUCUGGUCGGGGAUACCGCGGCAUAACCGCAAGUAAUACCCGAUAAAAUCUCCGGAUCAAAGGUGGGAUUCCGCCGGAGGAGGGGUCUGCGUUCUAUCAGCUUGUUGGUGAGGUAAUGGCUCACCAAGGCUAAGACGGAUACGGGGUGUGAGAGCAUACCCCCGCUCACUGGGACUGAGACACUGCCCAGACACCUACGGGUGGCUGCAGUCGAGAAUCUUCGGCAAUGGGCGCAAGCCUGACCGAGCGACGCCGCGUGCGGGAUGAAGGCCUUCGGGUUGUAAACCGCUGUCGAGGGGAAUGAAGUGUAGGUGGGUACUCCCAUCUAUUUGACAGAUCCCUGGAGGAAGCAUGGGCUAAGUUCGUGCCAGCCGCCGCCGUAA
This 484-nucleotide ribosomal RNA is filed under the name uncultured bacterium. Its description in RNAcentral is "partial 16S ribosomal RNA". It matches the Rfam family "Bacterial small subunit ribosomal RNA", at positions 29 to 523 of the family's 1533-position model. The record is from RNAcentral.